CCCUAUACUGACAAUUAGAAAAAGCUGUGCUAAAAUUAAAAAUGGAGGAAAGGACCUUGAUCCUCACAUAGCAGUGUUGAAGUUAGAGCUGUUAGUAACAAAUCAAAUAAAACCCAUGCUGCCAAGAGAAGAGAGUAUGCUCAUCUUGCUUUCUUCAUGCACUGUGGAAGGUUGUCAGCUGCUUCUUUGAAGUUAACUAAUGAUCAUGCAAGCUGUGAAUCUGCAGUGGGAGCCAGGAUCUCCGUGGUGCUGUAGCAGCACAGCUUCCACGUGCUGUCUCUCUCCUGUUAUCUUGUGUAGUGUUAUUCAGGUCCUUUAUUCAUCUGGAAUAGAUCUUGCUGAGGCAGAGAGAGGCUGUGGGAGGAUGUUUGAGAGGAAAAGGAGUUGUGUGGUUUCCUCAUCACUCUUGCUGUUAAGCUGAAGCUGCGUUUGCAUCUGGUUCAUACUUAAUGUGUCACUACCACCGUGUGAGAGCAGCACCUCCAUGGCAGAUGAUUUGGGUUCUAGAGCCAGCUUGGCAUAGCACAUUUCUUUCCUUUUUUCCCCCCCUCUUUCUAAGAAUAAACUUCAGG
Molecule: long non-coding RNA, 572 nt
Organism: Neopelma chrysocephalum (saffron-crested tyrant-manakin)
Lineage: Eukaryota; Metazoa; Chordata; Aves; Passeriformes; Pipridae
Exons: 3
Source: RefSeq, a predicted model, not a curated record